Molecule: long non-coding RNA, 920 nt
Organism: Argentina anserina (silverweed cinquefoil)
Lineage: Eukaryota; Viridiplantae; Streptophyta; Magnoliopsida; Rosales; Rosaceae
Exons: 3
Source: RefSeq, a predicted model, not a curated record
GGGAAACAGAUCGAGCUGCUCCCCGACGACCCGGCGACUUUCCGACGCGACUCCGCUGUCGUCAGGCCAGCUCCGGUUGGCGCACUAGCCCCGUCGUGGCCGCCUCCUUGUCGCCGUCCUCCCUAUGGUUGUUCAUUGACCAAUCGCCACCGGAUGAGAAAGAAUCGAGGGAGAGAAGGGCCGACUGUUCUUGGUUUCUCCGGCGAGUUUGCAGCGAUUUUCGACGUCUCCGGCCUCAGUUUGGCUUGAUUUCGGUAUCAUUCUUCAUCUCCUCUUCAUUUUCUACAAGUCUGUAUAAUUAGUUUUUGGAUUGGGUGAAGUUUUGAUGAAUUUGGUUUUGGGUUUUUCAUGUUCUUCAUCGUUCUUCAACCUUGGGACUGGUUGGGUGUUCCUUGACUCGAAUUCAAUCUCCUUGGCGUCUUUGGUGAAGCCUUGAAUCAAAUUGGAAGGGUUCUGGACCGAGUUGAUUAGUUGACAUCAAAUUGGUGGGUUUUGUUCCACCGAGCUCAUGGAGAAGGCUUCUGGGAAUAGUUUUCUCCAAGGGUCUCCAAUUAUCCGGUGAACGGAAGUGGAAAACUUGUGACUUGCAGAGUAUACGAGGGAAACCAUUGGAAUCCAGGUACUGUGCACUGAGACGGGAUAGUGGAGAAUGUGGUAGGGUGGGUUAUUCAGGUUUUUUUGAACCAUUUCUCAUUUUUCAUUGUAAAUUCUAUCUUUUUGUUUGUAGUCUUCAAAAGUUAGUUAAAGCUAGUUCCGUGUUUAGCUUUGUUGGUAUUCCUUUAUUCUAGUUCAUCAUUCUAGAAUAUCAGUUGUAUCAAGUUCUGGGGACGGACAUGUAUUUUGGGAAUAAUGAUUCACUCUAUUUUAAGCUUUUGCUGUGAUACUCGAAAAUUUCUUAUACAACUUGCUUUGCGUUUCUU